AACUUUUGACAACGGAUCUCUUGGCUCUCGCAUCGAUGAAGAACGCAGCGAAAUGCGAUAAGUAAUGUGAAUUGCGGAAUUCAGUGAAUCAUCGAAUCUUUGAACGCAUCUUGCGCUCCUUGGUAUUCAGAGGAGCAUGCCUGUUUGAGUGUCAUUUAAAAUUCUCAAACCCACUUGACGUGGCUUUGGAUGUGGGGGCUUUUGUUUGCAGGCUUUUCUUCUCAAGUCUGCUCCCCUGAAAUGCAUUAGUGGUGUCUGGAGUGGAAACUGCUAGGUGUGAUAAUUAUCGUCUACGCCUUUGGGUAUGCCACAUGAAACAGAUUGUGCUGCUUCCAACACAACCUUUAUGACAAACUUGACCUCAAAUCAGGUAGGACUACCCGCUGAACUUAAGCAUAUCAAUAAGCGGAGGCU
RNAcentral lists this unclassified non-coding RNA (414 nucleotides) under uncultured Inocybe. Its description in RNAcentral is "sequence contains ITS2". The stretch from base 1 to 154 matches the Rfam family "5.8S ribosomal RNA". The record is from RNAcentral. Lineage: Eukaryota; Fungi; Basidiomycota; Agaricomycetes; Agaricales; Cortinariaceae.